GUCCACGCCCUAAACGUUGAAUACUCGGUCUUGGCGAUAUACAGUCAGGGCCCAAGCGAAAGCGUUAAGUAUUCCACCUGGGAAGUACGUUCGCAAGAAUGAAACUCAAAGGAAUUGACGGGGCCCGCACAAGCGGAGGAGCAUGUGGUUUAAUUCGAUGAUACGCGAGAAACCUUACCUGGGCUUGAAUGUGAGUGACCGGUGCCGAAAGGUACUUUCCCCGCAAGGGGCACAAAACAAGGUGCUGCAUGGCUGUCGU
This 259-nucleotide ribosomal RNA is filed under the name uncultured bacterium. RNAcentral's name for it is "partial 16S ribosomal RNA". It matches the Rfam family "Bacterial small subunit ribosomal RNA", at positions 793 to 1055 of the family's 1533-position model. The record is from RNAcentral.